This 497-nucleotide ribosomal RNA is filed under the name uncultured bacterium. Its description in RNAcentral is "partial 16S ribosomal RNA". It matches the Rfam family "Bacterial small subunit ribosomal RNA", at positions 28 to 507 of the family's 1533-position model. The record is from RNAcentral.
GAUGAACGCUGGCGGCGUGCCUAAUACAUGCAAGUCGAGCGAACAGACGAGGAGCUUGCUCCUCUGACGUUAGCGGCGGACGGGUGAGUAACACGUGGAUAACCUACCUAUAAGACUGGGAUAACUUCGGGAAACCGGAGCUAAUACCGGAUAAUAUAUUGAACCGCAUGGUUCAAUAGUGAAAGACGGUUUUGCUGUCACUUAUAGAUGGAUCCGCGCCGCAUUAGCUAGUUGGUAAGGUAACGGCUUACCAAGGCGACGAUGCGUAGCCGACCUGAGAGGGUGAUCGGCCACACUGGAACUGAGACACGGUCCAGACUCCUACGGGAGGCAGCAGUAGGGAAUCUUCCGCAAUGGGCGAAAGCCUGACGGAGCAACGCCGCGUGAGUGAUGUAGGUCUUCGGAUCGUAAAACUCUGCUAUUAGGGAAGAACAAAUGUGUAAGUAACUAUGCACGUCUUGACGGUACCUAAUCAGAAAGCCACGGCUAACUACGUG